CCCCAGACCAAUCUCUAUCCGAUCAACUUUAGGCAGCCAGGUGUAGGUGAGAAGGGGAACCCUGAUGGUUACCUUGACUACAAAGCUCACCCUUACAGGACCCCAGCUGAUGCCAACAGCAGCCGAGCCACAAGGCAGACAGAGAAGAUGGACGCACGACAACUUACACCUAAUGGACAUGACACAAGAUCACAUCCAUCCUUGGAUGGAAAAUGCUUGAUACAGAUAUGUGUUUAACAAGACCACAGAGAAAGACUGUUAUGUUUGCUUGCACAUGCCGAGCAUAUUAACACAACCAUAUAUGGGAAACACCCUGGGACAGGUGCACUAAUUCUGAUUUCCGACCACCUUCAGAGUGACUUUUGUAAAGUGCACAACAACAACAACAACAACAACAUCGUCAUCCUGAUCCAGGAAGAAGCCCUCAACUUUAACAAGUUUUAAAGAGACUGUUGAUCGUCAUUGAAUUUUUCUUGUUUUUAUUUUGCUUUCCUUUACUUAUGUUAUUCUUUGUUUGAAGCUGUAAUUUCACAGAUGAUAAGUUUGUCAUUCACAGCAUACGCAGAUGUACCAAAACCAGUGAAGACUUCUUUUCCUAUUUGUCAGAUGAAGAUGAAGUGUAACUUAUGAUGUAUAGUUGCUUAUUGUACAUUUCAUUUCUCUGAUAAACAGGGCGGAAUGUUAAGAGAAUAUGGUAUAUAUGUGAUCAGCUACAUGAAAUGUAUUAUCAUUAAGCACAUUUCUACAUGACUUUUCACCUAGUAACUUGUGUGCUGAACCUCUGCAGAUACUAACCGCAUCCUGUUGUUCUGAACAUUUAGAUGUAGAAGAAGACCAAGCUCAGCUCUAUUACAAGAACAUACAGACGUAGAAAAGGGAAAGUCCCGCUACUGGAGUGAUGAUGUUAUCUAUGUAACACACACACACACACACACACACACAACAAUCUUGUAUAAAUAAAGGUCGCGGACAGUCGUGGGUUGCAGAUCCUGCGUCUAAAGGGCUGCCCUCGCGAGUAAAAGAAGAACUGCAGUUGUUUGUGUGUUUUCUAAACUCAGGAGUCUUGGCUAAAGAAAGAACGGCAGGGUGAUUUAAAGAAAUCCUCUGUCAAGCUGUAAUUAAUGAUUUUUAUACAAUAAGUGGAAGAUCUAAAUAUUAGAAUGGAAAAAUUGGAAGAAUUAUGGAUUUGUAUUCUAAAAAUUUGAAGGACUAGAGAUAAUUAUCAUAAAAAUGAAAGCAUUAGUGAUUUUGAUUGAACUUACCUUGAAGCAAAUCUUUUCCAGUCUGCUGUAUUCUUCCCAGCCUCGACAUCACUGCCCCUCCCACCCAAACUCAUGACUACACAGACCUUUCAGCCAAUCACAUUAUUAAUUCUGCC
Long non-coding RNA from Oreochromis aureus, 1378 nucleotides. NCBI's taxonomy places the organism in Eukaryota, Metazoa, Chordata, Actinopteri, Cichliformes, Cichlidae. The record is from Ensembl.